Molecule: unclassified non-coding RNA, 385 nt
Filed under: Hevea brasiliensis (rubber tree)
Lineage: Eukaryota; Viridiplantae; Streptophyta; Magnoliopsida; Malpighiales; Euphorbiaceae
Source: RNAcentral
AAGAUUUAAUUAUGUCAAUCAAUGAUAUAAUCGUUUAGUGUACAUUACUAAAAUGAUCCAAAAAUAUAGACAUCCACAUACAAGUAAAUGUACACUGCAAAACAUCUCAUUAAGUUCUACAACAAUAUUUCUCUUCAUUUACUCUCAUAAGUGCUUGUUUGCCCAAAAUGAUUGACAGAAAGGAACCAUGGCCAAACCCAUUUUGCUAUUCAGCACCAGUACCAGUAUGCCACUCACCAUGAAGAACCGAAGCCAAGAAACAGAAAUAGGGGAAAGUAAAAUAUCACCCAGAAACUAGAGAAAAAUUAAUUCAAUUUCCACAUCCAACUAUCUGAAACUUAAGGCAUUGAAUAUAGUGAAAUCCUCAAUCUGAGAAGGGUUUGAU